Molecule: long non-coding RNA, 390 nt
Organism: Carassius gibelio (silver crucian carp)
Lineage: Eukaryota; Metazoa; Chordata; Actinopteri; Cypriniformes; Cyprinidae
Exons: 2
Source: RefSeq, a predicted model, not a curated record
GCCCAGUGGUGUUUCUGGAGAGGGAUUCCUUCAGAAAUGGAGAAGACAGAAAGCUGUGGAGGCAGAUAUUUGCAGCAUGUUCGAGUGAGCAUGAUGACCACAAGUGUGUGUCGAACUUUUCAUGACCUGAUGACUGUGUUUCCCAAUCCUGAUCCUGGAGAACCCCAGCACUGCACGGUUUUGGUGUCUCUCUUAUCUGCCUUGGAGUCUUCACUGAUGAGCUGAUGAGUUGAAUCAGGUGUGUUUGAUCAGGGAGACAUCUCAAAUGUGCAGUGUUGGGGUUCUCCAGGACCAGGAUUGGGAGCCACUGCCUUAUGGGACACUUAUAUGUUUACAGAGAUUUUUAAUAUCUAAUUAUCAAUAUUUCACAUACUGUACAUUGGACAGCUU